Molecule: ribosomal RNA, 405 nt
Filed under: uncultured bacterium
Lineage: Bacteria
Description: bacterial SSU rRNA
Rfam family: Bacterial small subunit ribosomal RNA
Source: RNAcentral
AAUGAACGUUGGCGGCGUGGAUUAGGCAUGCAAGUCGAGCGGAAAGGCCCGCAAGGGCACUCGAGCGGCGUAAGGGACAGUAAUGUGUAGGUAACGUACCCCUGGGUCUAGGAUAGCUGCGGGAAACUGCAAUUAAUACUAGAUAACGUCUCCGGACCAAAGGUGUGAUUCCACCUGGGGAGCGGCCUACAUCCUAUUAGCUAGUUGGCGAGGUAAUGGCUCACCAAGGCGAAGAUGGGUAGCAGGUGUGAGAGCACGACCUGCGUCACUGGGACUGAGACACUGCCCAGACACCUACGGGUGGCUGCAGUCGAGAAUCUUCGGCAAUGGGCGAAAGCCUGACCGAGCGACGCCGCGUGUGGGAUGAAGGCCUCGGUUGUAACCACUGUCGGAGGGAGUGAAGUG